Molecule: transfer RNA, 71 nt
Filed under: Dipodomys ordii (Ord's kangaroo rat)
Lineage: Eukaryota; Metazoa; Chordata; Mammalia; Rodentia; Heteromyidae
Rfam family: tRNA
About the family: Transfer RNA (tRNA) molecules are approximately 80 nucleotides in length. Their secondary structure includes four short double-helical elements and three loops (D, anti-codon, and T loops).
Source: Rfam by way of RNAcentral
GGGAAUGUGGCUUAGUGAUAGAGCACUUGACUUGCAUUCAUGAAGCCUUGGGUUCAAUUCCCUAAUACACA